This 1349-nucleotide unclassified non-coding RNA is filed under the name uncultured Neocallimastigales. RNAcentral describes it as "partial contains small subunit ribosomal RNA, internal transcribed spacer 1, 5.8S ribosomal RNA, internal transcribed spacer 2, and large subunit ribosomal RNA". The stretch from base 643 to 1349 matches the Rfam family "Eukaryotic large subunit ribosomal RNA", at positions 1 to 621 of the family's 3401-position model. The record is from RNAcentral. Lineage: Eukaryota; Fungi; Neocallimastigomycota; Neocallimastigomycetes; Neocallimastigales.
GGAAGUAAAAGUCGUAACAAGGUUUCGUAGGUGAACCUGCGGAAGGAUCAUUAAUAAAUGGUCUACGUUUUUUUAAGUAGACGCUUAAUAAUCCUACCCUUUGUGAAUUUGUUGUUUUGAAAUAAUUUUUUUUUAAAAUUAUUGAUUGUCUUUCCCUGUUGAAUUGGUUGUCUUAUUGGCAAAUGAUUCGCAGGGAGUGUCAGUAAUUUCUAAAAAGACCUUUUUAAAUUAAACUUUUUGUAUUCAUUUGUCUAAAAUUAUUUUUAUAAUAUAAAAACAACUUUUGACAAUGGAUCUCUUGGUUCUCGCAACGAUGAAGAACGCAGCAAAAUGCGAUAAGUAGUGUGAAUUGCAGAAUACGUGAAUCAUCGAAUCUUCGAACGCAUAUUGCACUUUUUUAGUUUACUAAAAAGUAUGUCUGUUUGAGUAUCAGUAAAUAUUCUCAUAAAAACUUUUUGUUUUUAUGGUUAUGAGUGUUUUACAACGAUACAAGUUGUUUCACUUUAAUUUUUUUUAAAAUUUGAAUUUUUCUAAUUUUAAAAUAAAAUUGGAUAAAAUUUUCCGUAAAAAAGGAAUAACCUAAACAAUUUUAAUUUUUGAUUAGAAUUCUUCAAUUAUAAAGGAAAAUUUAACUAAAUAACUUGAUCUCAAAUCAGAUAAGAGUACCGCUGAACUUAAGCAUAUCAAUAAGCGGAGGAAAAGAACUAACAAGGAUUCCUUAGUAACGGCGAGUGAAGCGGGAAGAGCUCAAAUUUGAAAUCUUCAAGGUUUUACCUUGACGAAUUGUAGUUUAAAGAAGUGUUUUCUGUUGAAGUUUUGGUAAAAGUUCUUUGGAAUAGGACAUCAUAGAGGUGAGAAUCCGUAUUUGACCAUUAUUUUCAGCUGUGUGAUACACUUUCAAAGAGUCGGAUUGUUUGGGAAUGCAGUCCAAAAUGGGUGGUAAAUUUCAUCUAAAGCUAAAUAUUGGCGAGAGACGAUAGCGAACAAGUACGUGAGGAAAGAUGAAAGAACUUGAAAAGGGAGUUAAACAGUACGUGAAAUUGUCAAAAGGAAGCGUUUGACACCUGUGUUGUUUUCUCGAAAAUCAAUUAAAAAAAGUUGGAUUUUGUGUUGUAUUGACCUUAACAGCUUGCUUCACUCUUUUCUUGCUUUUUAAUGCACUUUCGUUUAACAAGUCAACAUCAGUUUCUUUUGUUGCAAAAGGGUCAUUGGAAGUGCUUUCUCUUCGGAGAAAGUGUUUAUAGCCUUUGAUCUUGCAAUCGGAGAGACUGAGGUCUGCAGCGUAGAUCUUCGGGGUUAGAUACAUUUGUGCUAAGCUACAGCUUUUCAUAGACAACUUGUUGACUAUG